This 497-nucleotide ribosomal RNA is filed under the name uncultured bacterium. RNAcentral's name for it is "partial 16S ribosomal RNA". It matches the Rfam family "Bacterial small subunit ribosomal RNA", at positions 28 to 507 of the family's 1533-position model. The record is from RNAcentral.
GAUGAACGCUGGCGGCGUGCCUAAUACAUGCCAGUCGAGCGAACGGACGAGAAGCUUGCUUCUCUGAUGUUAGCGGCGGACGGGUGAGUAACACGUGGAUAACCUACCUAUAAGACUGGGAUAACGGCGGGAAACCGGAGCUAAGACCGGAUAAUAUUUUGAACCGCAUGGUUCAAAAGUGAAAGACGGUCUUGCUGUCACUUAUAGAUGGAUCCGCGCUGCAUUAGCUAGUUGGUAAGGUAACGGCUUACCAAGGCAACGAUGCAUAGCCGACCUGAGAGGGUGAUCGCCCACACUGGAACUGGGACACGGUCCAGACUCCUACGGGAGGCAGCAGUAGGGAAUCUUCCGCAAUGGGCGAAAGCCUGACGGAGCAACGCCGCGUGAGUGAUGAAGGUCUUCGGAUCGUAAAACUCUGUUAUUAGGGAAGAACAUAUGUGUAAGUAACUGUGCACAUCUUGACGGUACCUACUCAGAAAGCCACGGCUAACUACGUG